This is a long non-coding RNA of Corvus hawaiiensis (hawaiian crow), 3706 nucleotides long. RefSeq lists it as uncharacterized. The transcript has 2 exons. NCBI's taxonomy places the organism in Eukaryota, Metazoa, Chordata, Aves, Passeriformes, Corvidae. The record is from RefSeq and is a predicted model, not a curated record.
GUAGUGAUAGAGUGGCUUUGGUGAGCACCUGGAGUCCAGCCAGGGUCAACCCUUCACAGCUGUAUAGCAAGGAAUUAGUUUAAUUCUGCCACAGGAUUAAACCAGCCCUGGACACGGUGUGUGUAGGAACACUGUGAUUUUUGGGUGAAGAAGUGGACUAUCACAGCAAUUGGUGGUACCUGUCAAAGAAGCAACAGUAAAACACUGAGCAGCCGUGUUUCCACUCCCAUCACAGCAGUGACAGUGACUGUGGGCUCUGCAGAGUGUUGUCCCUCCAGCAAGGCCAGAAGAAGACACUUCCUCCUGUGUUACUCCCCAUUCUGCUCACACUCAGGCUUGGCAUCUUGAACAAAGUAACUUUUGUAUAAAAUAUUUGCUGUAGAACCAAUACCAGUCUGGAAGGAAAUACCACUUCUUUAUCUUAUCACAGACUUCUCAUCUACACUUAAAUACUACAGUUUGCAUAAUGACUGUGCUCAGAUUGGGAUAUACAAAAUUACAUGUUGCUGAAUAUUACUGUCUCUGUCCAGCUCUGUAGUUCACAUGCAUGCAUGCGCAAACACGGCUAGCUUCAGUAGGAAGUCAGUGACAAAGAGAUGGGAAGGGUCUUUGCGUGUGUUCCAACAGGACCAUUUAUUGCUUCCACACUGUCGAAGGUCACACAGGCAAAGGUGAAAACAAUACGGAAUUCAGGGGUUUUAUCCGGGGGCGGAAAAAAGGCGGGACUAGGGAACGGGAGCAAUGGGGAAGCUCUGGGGGAGUGACAAGGGGUAGAGGCUGACAGCCAGCCGGGGGAGACAAACGGGAGCGUAUUGACAUAGCAGAAGAAGCGUCCUGGGAGAAGCCUCUUUCUCUCACCAUGACUGCUAAGUCUCUGGCACCAGAGACUGUCUUACCAAGAGCUCUCUCUGUCCCUUGUGCCACAGGCCAAUCGGCCGUCACAGCUGAGUAUGUCCAGCUUGCAGCUUCAACGAGAUUUGGAGACACUCAACACCUCUAGCAGUGUUUAUCGGAAGUUGGCACAUACGGUCCAGGAUGCCAUAAAAAUAUGCUUUAGCUUUUGAUCAACACUGAAUGGUCAGACAGUUGGAUGAGAUUAUCACUGAAUUAUUUUAUUCUAAAUUUUGGGUACCUAUCCAUAUACUCUUAAAGGUGCAUAAGGAGGAGGCAUAUGAGUCUGUCUAUUUGUUCUAUUUGCUAGAGCAUGUACUUUUGAUAAAACCAGAAGUACUUAAAAAAAAUUAUAAUUUACAAAGUUGAAAUACAUGGUUUGAUCUGCUCUCCCCGACAAUUUGCUUCCUGUUGUACUCUUCACACAGUUGUAAUGUUGCCCUUUGCUCAUCAAUUCCAAAAAAAGGCAUAUAAAGUCAUUUAGAACUGGGCUGUGCACCUGUACCCAAAAGGACAGCUCAGUUGUCAAGUAGAUGCUAGUAUGAGUACAACCAUCACAGCUUGAGUCCUGGUUUGUCAGCAAAAUUACAGUGAUUUUGUGGCAUAAUGAUCUUUGCUUGAAUAAUACCUAUUUGUCAUAAACAAAAGUAGAAAAAUAUUUAUUUGCUGAAGCAUCUCAAAUUUAAAUGAAUUGAAGCCUCCUUUUUUAAAAGUUAUUUUGUCAAAAUAAAUACGCAACAUUCUGAAGUUAUCAACAUUAUUUAUUUCCCACAACCACUUUUUUCCUUUUUACUCAUCUGACAGUACUGUUUCUUUGUUUUAAUAUUUUGGAUUGUUCUAGAUAAGAUAUUACUUUAGAUUUUUUUUUUCUAACGAUCCCUUUUCCUCCUUAAUUAGAAUAUUAAAAUUACCAAAACUUUUACAGGUUAGAGAAACUGUAUAAGUAGCAGUCAGAAUCACUGGAAGGUAGCUUGGGGAAUCAGAAAGGAAUACUCCUGCUGACAGUCAUCUGUGAAACUUUCAUUAACGAUGUUCAUUGUUCUGUCUACAUUACAUCAGUGUCAUGAAAGUAUCUUUAAUGCUUUAUAGAUAUAAGGAAAAUUCCACUACAUGCAAUAUCCACUGACAUGGAGCACAUCACUUCAGUGUGAUAUAGGAUUAGAAAAGAUAACUACCAGUCUGUUCAGCUGAUAUUCAGAUGUGAAAUAAAGUCAUGUCAUUCUUAAACAGGGUCAAAUUACUUCAGGGUCAAAGUGAAAAACAGUUCACUCUCAUAUGCACUAUGUUUUUAUUAUUGCCUCCUUUAGACAUCUUGUAAAUGAAGGACAGAUACUGCAGUUCUAUUGCUUUCAGAGAAAUAUUUCUAAAAUUUUGUUUUCUGUGUUUAUCUUUAUUUAUUGCAUGGCAUUUGGUUUUGUUGUUGUUUUUUUUUAAAGUUGUAUUACUGAAAUUGUUAAACUGCACUGCUAUGCUAAAACACAAAAAUUAUGGGUAAUAUAGUGAAAAGUCUGAAUGGAAUGUGGCUGAACAGAAUGUAUUCAAGAAUUAAACCAACUUCAUAAUCAGUAUGGAGGUACUUCUUCAGUAGAGAUGCCAAACCUCUCAGAGAACAAAACUCUCAGUGGAUGUGUGCAGUAGGCAGAAGUUACAAGUUAAGAAAAAACUACCAUCUACUCUGUAGUUCUCGAAGGUUUUGUGCGGCACAGGGAAAUGGGCAGACAGGAAUCUUAAUACUUAGAAUGAGUGACUGUUCCCUCCUGUGAGCAAACAGCCAGGCUUGCUAUUAAAAGUUUUGCUUUCUUAGUUAUGUCAGUAAGAAAUUAUUUUAGCAAGAACUUUGAAUUUAAAAACACAAUACUUGUAGCUAAGGCAGCUGUUUAAGCUAAAGCUCAAGGGGAAAAAAAUAUAAAUAUUGUGGGUUUUUUCUUUCCAUCCAGAAUCUUCAGGAAGCUGUCAUAAUUGGCCAAACACAAGUAUACACAUAUAUAUAUAUAUAUGCAUAUAUAUUAAAUAUAUGUAUUUUAUAUACAUAUAUUUAAGUUCUCUUUUUGCCAGUAGCAAAACGUAUCUUGAAGAAAAGAGGUUAUGGACAUACCCAUCUACAGCAGCCAAGGGAUCUACAAGGAUGCCUGGGAUCCACAAAACAAUACUUGUGCACAGUGACUAUCAUCCAGGAUUUCCAAAGUCCAGGCAUUCCUAUCACCAGCUAGAAGACUUUCCAAAUUUCUUUUCUCCUGUCCUCUCUCCCCUAAGCUCUGCAGGCAGGAACGCCCUCUCUUCCCUCCCUCCCUCCUAUCCCUUCCCAUUCGAAAUGUCACUACCCCAUCUGCUGCCCCCAAACUCACUCGUGCUGGCAGGGACUCACAGGCAGAACGAAGGCGCUGAAGUCAUUCAGCAUAAUGUGCUACACAGACCCUUCCAAGGCAAUUGCUAGCAUUUUCCACCAAGAAAAAAAUUGUGCAGAAGGGAUUAAUGCUGCUAUGGUUCUCUUUUGAUGCCUGUAACACAGAUCAGGACACAUCUGCAUCAUUAAAUCCAACUCCUUCUUGCUGCAGGCACCAUGUAGUUUAUUUGUUCCAUAUGAGUGUGUGUGCUUUUUGCCAUCCAAGCUAAGUAGUGACCGAGGGAUUGUUUCCCUGGACACAAGAGAUGCUAUUGUAAUAUCUGAAUUGCAUGGAAGUAUCUUUGUGCGUCUAUCUCAAAUGAUGUAACAAUUUAGCCAGCAAAUGUACAUGUUAUUGUGGUCAGUAGGACUUCUCUCACUUGAAAUUAUGUAUGCUUUAUUGCUUUUAUCAAAUAGAACUGUAAUAACACA